UGAGGAAUAUUGGUCAAUGGGCGAGAGCCUGAACCAGCCAAGUAGCGUGCAGGAUGACGGCCCUAUGGGUUGUAAACUGCUUUUAUGUGGGGAUAAAGUGCGUGACGUGUCAUGCAUUGCAGGUACACAUGAAUAAGGACCGGCUAAUUCCGUGCCAGCAGCCGCGGUAAUACGGAAGGUCCGGGCGUUAUCCGGAUUUAUUGGGUUUAAAGGGAGCGUAGGCUGUCUAUUAAGCGUGUUGUGAAAUUUACCGGCUCAACCGGUGGCUUGCAGCGCGAACUGGUCGACUUGAGUAUGCAGGAAGUAGGCGGAAUUCAUGGUGUAGCGGUGAAAUGCUUAGAUAUCAUGACGAACUCCGAUUGCGCAGGCAGCUUACUGUAGCAUAACUGACGCUGAUGCUCGAAAGUGCGGGUAUCAAACAGG
This 423-nucleotide ribosomal RNA is filed under the name Fusobacteriota bacterium. Its description in RNAcentral is "Fusobacteria bacterium partial 16S ribosomal RNA". It matches the Rfam family "Bacterial small subunit ribosomal RNA", at positions 355 to 776 of the family's 1533-position model. The record is from RNAcentral. Lineage: Bacteria; Fusobacteriati; Fusobacteriota.